RNAcentral lists this ribosomal RNA (481 nucleotides) under uncultured bacterium. RNAcentral describes it as "partial 16S ribosomal RNA". It matches the Rfam family "Bacterial small subunit ribosomal RNA", at positions 46 to 523 of the family's 1533-position model. The record is from RNAcentral.
GCUUAACACAUGCAAGUCGAGCGAGAAUCGUUUAUUGAAGGCUUCGGCUGGAAAUAGAUGAGGAAAGCGGCGAACGGGUGAGUAACGCGUGGGCAACCUGGCCUUAAGAAAAGGAUAGCCCCCGGAAACGGGGAGUAAUACUUUAUGAGAAUGAAAGAGGGCAUCCUACUUUCAUUCAAAGCGCAAGCGCUUAAGGAUGGGCCCGCGUAUCAUUAGCUAGUUGGUGAGAUAGCAGCCCACCAAGGCAACGAUGAUUAGCCGGUCUGAGAGGGCGAACGGCCACAUUGGAACUGAGAGACGGUCCAAACUCCUACGGGAGGCAGCAGUGGGGAAUAUUGCGCAAUGGAGAAGAACUCUGACGCAGCAAUACCGCGUGAGCGAAGAAGGUCUUCGGGUCGUAAAGCUCUGUUAUCAGGGAAGAAGAAAAUGACGGUACCUGAUGAGCAAGUCCCGGCUAACUACGUGCCAGCCGCCGCCGUAA